This 666-nucleotide ribosomal RNA is filed under the name uncultured bacterium. RNAcentral describes it as "bacterial SSU rRNA". It matches the Rfam family "Bacterial small subunit ribosomal RNA", at positions 142 to 807 of the family's 1533-position model. The record is from RNAcentral.
GAUAACCGGCGGAAACGGCGACUAAUACCCCAUAUGCUGCGAUGCUGCAUGGCAUUGCAAUGAAAGAUUCAUCGGUGGCGGAUAGGCUCGCGGGACAUUAGCUAGACGGCGGGGCAACGGCCCACCGUGGCGACGAUGUCUAGGGGUUCUGAGAGGAAGACCCCCCACACUGGGACUGAGACACGGCCCAGACUCCUACGGGAGGCAGCAGUGAGGAAUAUUGGUCAAUGGGCGGAAGCCUGAACCAGCCAUGCCGCGUGAAGGACUAAGGCCCUACGGGUCGUAAACUUCUUUAGACGCAGAGCAAUAAGGUCCACGAGUGGACCGAUGAGAGUAUGCGUAGAAUAAGCAUCGGCUAACUCCGUGCCAGCAGCCGCGGUAAUACGGGGGAUGCGAGCGUUAUCCGGAUUCAUUGGGUUUAAAGGGUGCGUAGGCGGCCGAGUAAGUCAGCGGUGAAAGACCGGGGCUCAACCCUGGAAGUGCCGUUGAUACUGUUUGGCUGGAAUGAUCCCGCCGCGGGAGGAAUGAGUGGUGUAGCGGUGAAAUGCAUAGAUAUCACUCAGAACACCGAUUGCGAAGGCAUCUCGCGAGGGGUCAAUUGACGCUGAGGCACGAAAGCGUGGGGAUCGAACAGGAUUAGAUACCCUGGUAGUCCACGCGGUAAAC